AACGAACGCUGGCGGCAUGCCUAACACAUGCAAGUCGAACGAGACCUUCGGGCCUAGUGGCGCACGGGUGCGUAACGCGUGGGAACCUGCCCUUAGGUUCGGAAUAACUCCCCGUAAGGGGUGCUAAUACCGGAUAAUGUCUUCGGACCAAAGAUUUAUCGCCUUUGGAUGGGGCCGCGUUGGAUUAGCUAGUUGGUAGGGUAAAAGCCUACCAAGGCGACGAUCCAUAGCUGGUCUGAUAGGAGGAUCAGCCACACUGGGACUGAGACACGGCCCAGACUCCGACGGGAGGCAGCAGUGGGGAAUAUUGGACAAUGAGGGAAAGCCUGAUCCAGCAGUGCCGCGUGAGUGAGGAAGGGCUUAGGGUUGUAAAUCUCUUUUACCCGGGAUGAUAAUGACAGUACCGGGAGAAUAAGCACCGGCUAACUCCGUG
This 433-nucleotide ribosomal RNA is filed under the name uncultured bacterium. Its description in RNAcentral is "partial 16S ribosomal RNA". It matches the Rfam family "Bacterial small subunit ribosomal RNA", at positions 29 to 507 of the family's 1533-position model. The record is from RNAcentral.